CUUCCGGGCCGCGGGCGGGGAGGCGGUGGCAGGGCGAGGAGGGAAAUUGGGCAGGGGAAGGCAGGGGGAGGACAGGAGGGAAGUGAUGGAGGAGGCAGGGAAGCCGAGGGGAGAGGAGACGAGAGGUGCGGAGGCGCUGGCCUUUUUCUUGGUGCCCAACGCCCCUGCAGUGUAGCUCGGCCGUCUGGGAAGCCGCCAAGUUCGCGCCAGCCAGGCUCGCUCUGGGCGCGCCCAGCACUUGCCUGCGACGUGGAAAACCUAGAGAGCCCUAAAUCUCAGGGCUAAUCUCUGAGUACUUUGAGGAAAGCGUCAGGGGGCCUCGAGUCCCGCGGAGUUUUUGCGGAUGCGCCAGGCCGCGUGGGGAUGUGCCGCAGGGAAGAAGCAGUCUUGGAAACUCUCCCGCCCUGUUGGCAGCUGUCGAUGCCUGUGUACGUGGCUCCUAACGUGGGGAACAGUGGCUGCGAAAGCGUGCACCGAGGGAGGGACGAAAGGGUGAGGCCUUGACCCAUCCUCUGUGCCCAGGGAGUUCCAAAGGCACGGAUUAUUCUUGGGUUAAACCCCCAGACCCACGAGGAAAUCCUCGAGACUUCGGUGAACGUGGGAUGUGUCGUGCAGCAGGCUCCAGAUGGCUCCCCGUUAGUACUUUUGGAAAUCGAAUUGGCACAUCAAAGAUUUCCUCUGAUCCUGCUGCUGCAUUGACUAGACAUUACACAGAAACCCCACCCCAUCUUUGCUCUUGUAAAGAAACAUUUAUUACACAAGUACUCCAACUGUUUCAUCUCUUUCUUUUUUUUUUUAGGUUCUUUCUAGUAAGUGUGGCGGUUUCCUUUCCCUCAAGUCAUUCUAUCAAAGUCUUGGAAGCAAACUAAAAAAAAAAACUAGUCUGAAUUAGAAAGUUAAGUGAAGACGGCCUUAUGGGUUUGCGCUGCUCAGGUUUAUUCGUAGCUUCUUUUGGGUCCUUCUUCUCUCUCGCUCCCACCUUGAGGCAGAAACAUAGAUGAGGGACUUGCCGGAUGUCUCUUAUUUUCUACACUAGUUUGAACCUUUCCGCCGGAACUAUGUAUAUUACUUUCUCAUAGGUUUGUGAAUUAACAAACAGGAUUAUUGCAGUUAAUAAGAAGAGCUAAUAUGUAGUACUCGGGGCAGGCACUAUUUUGUUUACAAACCUGUGAUUAUUUAAUUCAUCAACUGUGUGAAGUCGGGGCUAUUGUCCCAUUAUCCAACUUACUUCAUUCCUUAGAGAUGAGGAAAUUGAGGCAUGGUCAAGUUAGAUAACAAGGCCUCUUCUAGCCUGUAAGUGGAAGAGAUGGAAUUUGAACGCAAACUGUCGGAGGUAAAUGCCAUGCUGUGGUCACAAUGUUAUAGAAAUUACCCACUAGCGAGCAUAGUUGUAUUGAAAUAUUAAACUUAUAAUUAGGUGGAAUUUUUUUUUUCCUUUUACUUAUUUAGGCUUCCUGAAGUUUAUUUUGGCGAAAUGUCCAAAUUUAGUGUGGACAGAGCAGGACUCACAAUUUAAAAAGGAAACUCUCAAUAAGAAACCAUGCAUUCCAAGGCAGUGUUACAUUUUUCUUACAUGCAAGGUUAUGGAAAUGUUUGACCUGGGAAGUUAUUUUCCUUAGGAGAAACGUUUGUCUUGGUAUACCGUGAUCCCCGAGAACAUGGCGAGCCCUCCAGGAGAAACUCUUCAGUCAUCAGUGUUUGAAAACUAAAUAUUGAUUCAAAUGUACUCAAGAAGUGAGCAUCCUUGACAUGGUCGAUGACAUGAUGUCAAAUGAAAAGGAAAUUUCCCCAAAGAAACAUAAGUAUUGGGUGGAGUCAGGGAAGAUACUCAGGGAGUUCCCUUCGUGGCUCAGUGGUUAAGGAACCCCACUAGGAUCCAUGAGGAUUCCAGUUUGAUCCCUUGCCUUGCUCAGUGGGCUAAGGAUCUUGCGUUGCUUUGAGCUGUGGUGUAGGUGGAAGACGCUGCUUGGAUCCCGUGCUGCUCUGGCUGUGGUUGUAGGCUGGCAGGUGUAGCUCCACUUCAGCCACUAGCCUGGGAAUUUCCAUAUGCCUCGGGUGCCUGGGAACUUCCAUGUGCUGUGCUUGUGGCCCUAGAAAGCAAAAAUAAGAAAAGGGAAGAUAUUCGUUUUUUUUUUUUUUUUUUUUCCCUCCAUUUUCUUUCUGGAGUCUUCUUCCCUGUCCUUGAACACUUCUGUGACCUCCAAGACUGGGUUAGAAGCCUCUUCUGUGUGCUCCUGUGCACCCAGAAUCUGUGCCUGCAGUGGUACACUGUUUUCUCAUUGCUUGUUCACCUAACUACCUCCUGGGAGAUUCUUAAGUUUCACGAAGGGCAGACAUUCUGUCCUUCUCAAUAGUAUGUCUCCAGAACUCAGCACAGUUGUCCUAAAAUUGGAGCAAUACUGACUGGUUAAAAUGAUGGUUUUUACUGGUCAGCCUUGUCUUGUUAGGAUGUACUGAGUUGGGAUUUAACAGAAACUGUGAGACCAAUGUAUCCAUCAGAAGCAUAGUCUCUAAACAGACCUCCCAGUUUCCUCCUUUCUUACAUUUCCUUGAAUUCCACCUACAUACUUUAUCUUAUCUAUCUCUCUGUCUCUCUCUAUGUUAUCUGUGUGUAUACCAUCUAUCUCCCUCUAUCUCUCUAUCUCUCUAUCCAACUGUCUGUCUGUCUAUCUGUCUUUACCACUGGAUAUAAACCACACAGUCAGGGAUAUAUAUUUUGUUUCAGUUUGGGUAUAUAUCCCAUUGUCCCACUUUUUGCACCCAUUUGGCACAUAAUAGUUUUUUUGAUAUUAAAUAAGAACAAAAACAACCUCUGAAAAUUUUAACUUUAUUUUGGCACCCAAUUAAUAAAUAACUGCAGCCUUAAUCCUAACCUCACUGUUUGGGGUCUGUAAGAUGAUAGAAUCAUACGAUUUUUUUUUUUUUCCCUGAAGGGGACCUGAUAAUUAUGUAAGCCAGCUGGUAGACACAGGCUAUUUCAAUUUAAACUGACUAAAAUAAAAUUAAAAAUUAAGUUACUCAGCUUUUGCCUCCUUUUGGGUGCUCAGUAGCCACAUGUGACUAGUGGCUACUCUGUUGGGCAGCCUUGAUACAGAGAUUUCCAUUAUUGCGGAAAGUUCUACUGGGCAGAGCUGACAAGUUACAAAAAAUAGGUUAAAGGGCAUAGUUUCAUUAGCUUAAAUAUAUCACUGCUACUAAAAAAUAUUUCAGAUGGCAUAGCAGUUCUUUUACAUACAAAGAGCAUCACAUUCUUAUUUCAGAUGUCUGCUAUUUCACAUAGAUAAACAUUUUUUUUUCCUUAACGGUUGUGGUUAAAUUAAUGCACAUUUAAACAUAUGCAGAAGAGCCUGUGGUUCAAAAGGAUUCCUCUUUGUAGUCCCUUAAGGUGAAUAUUCACCCCAAUCAAUCCUUUGUGAGUCUUCACUUUUUUCUGGUUAAAAAUCCUCUGAUCAACUUGAGUCACUGCACAAGUUUGACAUUCAUUCGCUUCGGCUGUGCAUUUUAAGCUCGCAUGAUUGAGGAGCUAAAAUACUCAGUAAUGUUGGUAAAGGCCAAAUGCCAGAUAGUUUUGGACUGACCAAAUAUAUAUUUAAUGACAUCACACAUGCCCUAAGACAGUUUUCAAUUUACAAACACUCUAUUCAGAAGCAGCCCAGAUAGAAAACAUACUGGCGUACUUUCUUUAAACUCUUCCUUAGGACAGUAUUGCCAAGGUGCCCAUUGUACAAAAAUUAGUCAAUAAAAAAAUAAAAUAAAUACUGCAAUUCUAAGACAAUGGAUAGUGUAAGUUGUGGGGGCAACAAAGAAGCCGGAGUGAAACCUUGGGGAAUUAGUAGAGGUUAUUUCCGCAGUAGAGCAGAUUUGCUUAAGUGGUAACCCCCUGACAAAAAUAGUCUAGAGCCACCUUUCUCCCUCUGGCCCCGCCCCUCCUUGCCCUGCCUCUCUCCCACUCCCCUGUUCUUACAAUUCUUUUUUUCUUUUUUUGCGUUUUAGGGCUGCGCAGGCAACAUAUGGUAGUUCCCAGGCUGG
Molecule: long non-coding RNA, 4029 nt
Filed under: Sus scrofa (pig)
Lineage: Eukaryota; Metazoa; Chordata; Mammalia; Artiodactyla; Suidae
Description: lncRNA (ENSSSCG00000049194.2)
Source: RNAcentral